AUUCCCACUUUGGGUCUUGGGAGCCACUUUUCAAUCAUUUCUCUCUGCUAAUUUUGGUGUCACCCUCAUUUCUUUUUAAACGAUUCAUUUUGAGCAAAUUUGUAAAUGGCCCUGAUGUGUUCUACAAUUUAGUCAAUUACUGUUUCAGCCUGCAAGCCUCCUGGGGAACGGAACAUACAUGGCCUGAAGGUGAAUACUCGGGCCGGACCCUCUCAACACAGCAGCCCAGCAGUCUCAGAUUCACUUCCAAGCAAUAGCUUAAAGAAGUCUUCUGCUGAACUGAAAAAAAUACUAGCCAAUGGCCAGAUGAAUGAACAAGACAUACGAUAUCGGGACACUCUUGGUCAUGGCAACGGAGGCACAGUCUACAAAGCAUAUCAUGUCCCGAGUGGGAAAAUAUUAGCUGUAAAGGUCAUACUACUAGAUAUUACACUGGAACUUCAGAAGCAAAUUAUGUCUGAAUUGGAAAUUCUUUAUAAGUGCGAUUCAUCAUAUAUCAUUGGAUUUUAUGGAGCAUUUUUUGUAGAAAACAGGAUUUCAAUAUGUACAGAAUUCAUGGAUGGGGGAUCUUUGGAUGUAUAUAGGAAAAUGCCAGAACAUGUCCUUGGAAGAAUUGCAGUAGCAGUUGUUAAAGGCCUUACUUAUUUGUGGAGUUUAAAGAUUUUACAUAGAGACGUGAAGCCCUCCAAUAUGCUAGUAAACACAAGAGGACAGGUUAAGCUGUGUGAUUUUGGAGUUAGCACUCAGCUGGUGAAUUCUAUAGCCAAGACGUAUGUUGGAACAAAUGCUUAUAUGGCGCCUGAAAGGAUUUCAGGGGAGCAGUAUGGAAUUCAUUCUGAUGUCUGGAGCUUAGGAAUCUCUUUUAUGGAGCUUGCUCUUGGGAGGUUUCCAUAUCCUCAGAUUCAGAAAAACCAGGGAUCUUUAAUGCCUCUCCAGCUUCUGCAGUGCAUUGUUGAUGAGGAUUCGCCCGUCCUUCCAGUUGGAGAGUUCUCGGAGCCAUUUGUACAUUUCAUCACUCAGUGUAUGCGAAAACAGCCAAAAGAAAGGCCAGCACCUGAAGAAUUGAUGGGCCACCCGUUCAUCGUGCAGUUCAAUGAUGGAAAUGCCGCCGUGGUGUCCAUGUGGGUGUGCCGGGCACUGGAGGAGAGGCGGAGCCAGCAGGGGCCCCCGUGAGGCUGCCGCAGGGCACUGAAAGCCCAGGACCAGUAACCAAGGAGAACAACCCACUCGUCGCCCUUCUCCGUAUGCUGCCUGUGCCAGAAGAGCUUUGCUGGGCCCUGGCUUCCCUGCCCUCGCCUUCACCUCUGUCAGCAGGUGGCCUUGCCUGGGGAGCCCCAUGUGUGGCCCACCCCACCAGGCCAUCCCCAUACCUUCUGGUUUGAAGGCGCUGACACUGGCAGAGAGGUAAAGGGUGGGGCAUUGAGAAUGGAGGCUCCCAGGGCCCCUGCCCACUUCUGUUUUCCUAAUGUUUUUCUCUAUAAAGGGUCAGGCCCGUCAGCAUCACUG
This 1506-nucleotide small RNA is filed under the name Pan troglodytes (chimpanzee). RNAcentral's name for it is "retained intron". Lineage: Eukaryota; Metazoa; Chordata; Mammalia; Primates; Hominidae. The record is from RNAcentral.